This 782-nucleotide long non-coding RNA is filed under the name Gouania willdenowi (blunt-snouted clingfish). RNAcentral describes it as "lncRNA (ENSGWIG00000024624.1)". Lineage: Eukaryota; Metazoa; Chordata; Actinopteri; Blenniiformes; Gobiesocidae. The record is from RNAcentral.
CUGAUGAUUUUAAUUGAUUUUACUGAUGAUUUUAAAUGUUCUUAUUGAUUUUACUGAUGAUUUUAAAUGUUCUUAUUGAUUUUAAACAAUUGAAUGUUUUAUCAUGUAAAGCACAUUGAGUUGCCUUGAGUAUGAAAUGCGCUAUAUAAAUAAAUUUGCCUUGCCUUGCCUUUAUGUUGAAUUUAUUGUUAAAUAAAUAGUAGCCGAACGAUUAGAAAAAAAAAAACAAAAAAUCUGAAAGAAAACGAUGCAGGCAAACAGAAAAUUAAAAUUAUCCUCAGCCUCUAAAGACUUAAUCCUUCCCUCCAUCUUCCCUUCCUGUGGGUGGGGGUGAUGGGGGGGCGGAUAUGAUGAGCAAAUGUUAACUGGUGGUUAAAGAUCUCAUAUUUCCAUCCAUCUGCUAAGUUGUGGUCAGGGUGCCUAAACACUAAAGAAAGAAGACCUUGAUCAUGAUCACUAUAGUCGGAAGGGUAAUAUUGAAGAGCUGAAUAAGAUGAUGGGAGACCACUGGAAUGCUAAAGACAGGCAGAGUGAGAGAGGAGGUGUUGUACGAAGACAAGAGAUGUGGAAAAAUGUGUUACAGAUGCAGGGACAGGAGUCACUCUGAACAGCAGCCUGGGUUCCCUCAGCGACAUCAUCAGAGGCCAUGAAAAAUAUGCAUAACUAACCCUGCAGCCAUGCAAUCAGGGGAUGUUGCACGGACACAACGGACUCCUUCAAACUCCUACCAGCAAUGUAUUAAUAGUUGAAGUUAGUUCAACGAGUCCAACAGUCAAUGAGGU